This 397-nucleotide ribosomal RNA is filed under the name uncultured bacterium. RNAcentral describes it as "partial 16S ribosomal RNA". It matches the Rfam family "Bacterial small subunit ribosomal RNA", at positions 523 to 918 of the family's 1533-position model. The record is from RNAcentral.
AUACGUAGGGGGCGAGCGUUGUCCGGAAUGAUUGGGCGUAAAGGGCGCGUAGGCGGCCCGGUAAGUCUGGAGUGAAAGUCCUGUUUUUAAGAUGGGACUUGCUUUGGAUACUGUCGGGCUUGAGUGCAGGAGAGGUAAGUGGAAUUCCCAGUGUAGCGGGGAAAUGCGUAGAGAUUGGGAGGAACACCAGUGGCGAAGGCGACUUACAGGACUGUAACUGACGCUGAGGCGCGAAAGUGUGGGGAGCAAACAGGAUUAGAUACCCUGGUAGUCCACACUGUAAACGAUGAAUGCUAGGUGUAGGGGGUAUCGACCCCUUCUGUGCCGCAGUCAACACAAUAAGCAUUCCGCCUGGGGAGUACGGCCGCAAGGUUGAAACUCAAAUGAAUGGACGGGG